This 427-nucleotide ribosomal RNA is filed under the name uncultured marine bacterium. RNAcentral describes it as "bacterial SSU rRNA". It matches the Rfam family "Bacterial small subunit ribosomal RNA", at positions 360 to 804 of the family's 1533-position model. The record is from RNAcentral.
AAUAUUCCGCAAUGGGCGAAAGCCUGACGGAGCAAUGCCGCGUGUGGGAUCAAGCGCCUUCGACGUGUAAACCACUGUCAGGAUCUAGGAACACUGACCAGAUCCAAAGGAAGGGCCGGCUAAUUCCGUGCCAGCAGCCGCGGUAAUACGGAAGGCCCGAGCGUUAAUCGGAAUCACUGGGCUUAAAGGGUGCGCAGGCGGACCCGUAAGCAUGUCGUGAAAGCCCCCGGCUCAACCGGGGAACUGCGAUGUGAACUGCGGGUCUUGAGGCAGGUAGGGGCGAGUGGAACCAUGGGUGGAGCGGUGAAAUGCGUAGAUAUCCAUGGGAACGCCAAUGGCGAAGGCAGCUCGCUGGGCCUGUCCUGACGCUCAGGCACGAAAGCGUGGGGAGCGAACGGGAUUAGAUACCCCGGUAGUCCACGCCGUA